AAUCAAUGUUUCAGUCCAACUACCUUGACAUAUUAAGGAAAGCUUGUUAAUGGGACUGAAAUGGUGAAUGUAUGUAGGGCACAACUGUAAAAAAUUUUAUUUUGAAGUCCUGUGGGUGUGCUCUUCACUUUAAAUAUGUUAUUGUGCUGGAGUAUGCACCUAGCAACAAGACUGGGCAAAUAUCUGCUCAUUACAUAUGGUACAUAUUAAUGACAUUUCUCUGUG
Non-coding RNA from Pelobates cultripes (western spadefoot toad), 225 nucleotides. Lineage: Eukaryota; Metazoa; Chordata; Amphibia; Anura; Pelobatidae. The record is from the annotation of a GenBank genome assembly.